RNAcentral lists this microRNA (21 nucleotides) under Cordylochernes scorpioides. Lineage: Eukaryota; Metazoa; Arthropoda; Arachnida; Pseudoscorpiones; Chernetidae. The record is from RNAcentral.
GGGUAGUACCCAAGUGUUGUG